This 280-nucleotide long non-coding RNA is filed under the name Prunus dulcis (almond). RNAcentral's name for it is "sRNA ncRNA". The record is from RNAcentral. Lineage: Eukaryota; Viridiplantae; Streptophyta; Magnoliopsida; Rosales; Rosaceae.
CUCCGCCGUAGCACGAUAUUGUCCGCUUUGGGCACCCCUCUCUGCCCUCACGGUGUUGUUUCUGGGAGCUCACGAGCAACUUCCCAGUGGGUCACCCAUCCUGGGAUUGUUCUAGCCCCCAACUCGCUUAACUUCGGAGUUCCUACGACUCCGAAGCCAGUGAGCUCUCAAAAGGCCUCGUGCUAGAUGGAUGCGGGUGUGUACAUAUAAGGCACAUCGUCCCCUCUCCGUUGGUUGAUGUGGGAUCUUACAAUCCACCACCCUUAAGGGCCCGACGUCC